GACGAACGCUGGCGGCGUGCUUAACACAUGCAAGUCGAACGGAAAGGCCCUGCUUUUGUGGGGUGCUCGAGUGGCGAACGGGUGAGUAACACGUGAGUAACCUGCCCUUGACUUUGGGAUAACUUCAGGAAACUGGGGCUAAUACCGGAUAGGAGCUCCUGCUGCAUGGUGGGGGUUGGAAAGUUUCGGCGGUUGGGGAUGGACUCGCGGCUUAUCAGCUUGUUGGUGGGGUAGUGGCUUACCAAGGCUUUGACGGGUAGCCGGCCUGAGAGGGUGACCGGGCACAUUGGGACUGAGAGACGGCCCAGACUCCUACGGGAGGCAGCAGUGGGGAAUAUUGCCCAAUGGGCGGAAGCCUGAUGCAGCAACGCCGCGUGCGGGAUGACGGCCUUCGGGUUGUAAACCGCUUUCGCCUGUGACGAAGCGUGAGUGACGGUAAUGGGUAAAGAAGCACCGGCUAACUACGUG
Molecule: ribosomal RNA, 468 nt
Filed under: uncultured bacterium
Lineage: Bacteria
Description: partial 16S ribosomal RNA
Rfam family: Bacterial small subunit ribosomal RNA
Source: RNAcentral